This 477-nucleotide ribosomal RNA is filed under the name Fridericia isseli. RNAcentral describes it as "partial 16S ribosomal RNA". It matches the Rfam family "Bacterial large subunit ribosomal RNA", at positions 1816 to 2596 of the family's 2925-position model. The record is from RNAcentral. Lineage: Eukaryota; Metazoa; Annelida; Clitellata; Enchytraeida; Enchytraeidae.
UGCUUUAUGAAAAAUAAUAUAAAGUAAUCUCCUGCCCAGUGAACUAAUUCAACGGCCGCGGUAUCCUAACCGUGCAAAGGUAGCAUAAUAACUUGCCUAUUAAUUGUAGGCUAGAAUGAAUGGGGUAACGAAAUAAGAUCUUUCUUAUAUAUCACAAUAUAAACUAAUAUUUAAGUGAAGAAGCUUAAAUUAGAUUAAAGGACAAGAAGACCCUAUAGAGCUUUAAUUUUAAAAUACAAAAUAUUAAACAUUUCGGUUGGGGCAACCUUGGGACAUAUUCACCCACUUACUAUUUGAUCAACAAAUCACAAAACUGAUCCUAUUAUAGAUCAUAGAAACAAGCUACCUUAGGGAUAACAGGCUAAUCCUAUUACAGAGUUCUUAUCAACAAUAGGGAUUGGCACCUCGAUGUUGGCUUAGAAUAUCUUUAUGGCGCAGCAGUCAUAAAAAGAAAUGUUUGUUCAACUUUUAAUAUUC